UACGUAGGGUGCAAGCGUUGUCCGGAAUUAUUGGGCGUAAAGAGCUCGUAGGCGGUCUGUCGCGUCGGCUGUGAAAACUCGGGGCUCAACCCCGAGCCUGCAGUCGAUACGGGCAGACUAGAGUGCGGUAGGGGAGACUGGAAUUCCCGGUGUAGUGGUGGAAUGCGUAGAUAUCGGGAGGAACACCAGUGGCGAAGGCGGUUGCCUGGAGCUUUGCUGACGCUGAUGCGCGAAAGCGUGGGGAGCGAGUCCGG
This 254-nucleotide ribosomal RNA is filed under the name uncultured bacterium. RNAcentral describes it as "partial 16S ribosomal RNA". It matches the Rfam family "Bacterial small subunit ribosomal RNA", at positions 524 to 777 of the family's 1533-position model. The record is from RNAcentral.